Cebus imitator (Panamanian white-faced capuchin) is the source of this 1213-nucleotide RNA transcript. It is a transcript of the gene named 40S ribosomal protein S3a-like, with no coding region annotated. Lineage: Eukaryota; Metazoa; Chordata; Mammalia; Primates; Cebidae. The transcript has 6 exons. The record is from RefSeq and is a predicted model, not a curated record.
AUGGGGGUUGAGGAAAGCGUGGAUGUAGACAGAGUUGUCAGCGUCCCUCUGUUGACCAGGCAGGAGAUGCUGCUGCUGGUGGAGAUGCAGAAGUUGCAUUUGGAGAGAAUCUGGACUGCACUGAAACCCAGAAAAAAACAGACCCUGUUGGCUCGGAAAACGUCUGACAGCAAACAGCACCAGGCGACACAAACUGUCCGAUUUCCAACUGCUCUCGGACACACUCACCCGCACUCGGUCGCCAAGCUUGCUGUGUCAAUGUCUAAAGCCAUUUCUUCCUUGGGAACUGCAGACGCUGCAAUGCCGUCAGGAAGUUUUUGGCAGGCCACAGUUCCGAGGGACGUGGACUUUGCUACAGUAUGGGCUCCUUUAGGAGGCUCAGAACAGGCUGGCCUCAGGCGGGCAGCCAGGGCUCACAGGGCCAAAAUCCUCGGCUUUGUACUUCGUGGGAAUUCUUGCGAUUACGCACCAUGGCAGUUGGCAAGAAUAAGCGCCUUACGAAAGGCGGCAAAAAGGGGAGCCAAGAAGAAAGUGGUUGAUCCAUUUUUGUUUGAAGUUAGUCUUGCUGAUUUGCAGAAUGAUGAAGUUGCAUUUAGGAAAUUCAAGCUAAUUACUGAAGAUGUUCAGGGCAAAAACUGCCUGACUAACUUCCAUGGCAUGGAUCGUAAGAUGAUGCCACAUUUUGACCAUGACAAAAUGUGCUCCAUGGUCAAAAAAUGACAGACAAUGACUGAAGCUCAUGUUGAUGUCAAGACUACCGAUGGUUACUUGCUUCGUCUGUUCUGUGUUGGUUUUACUAAAAAAAGCAACAAUCAGAUACGGAAGACCUCUUAUGCUCAGCACCAACAGGUCCGCCAAAUCCGGAAGAAGAUGAUGGAAAUCAUGACCUGAGAGGUGCAGACAAAUGACUUGAAAGAAGUGGUCAAUAAGUUGAUUCCAGACAGCAUUGGAAAAGACAUAGAAAAGGCUUGCCAAUCUAUUUAUCCUCUCCAUGAUGUCUUCGUCAGAAAAGUAAAAAUGCUGAAGAAGCCCAAGUUUGAAUUUGAAUUGGGAAAACUCGUGGAGCUUCAUGGUGAAGGCAGUAGUUCUGGAAAAGCCACUGGGGAUGAGACAGGUGCUAAAGUUGAACGAGCUGAUGGAUAUGAACCACCAGUCCAAGAAUCUGUUUAAAGUUCAGACUUAUAAUAUUGGCAAAUAAAAAGUCUUAUUUGUG